CGCGUAGGUGGUUUGUUAAGUUGGAUGUGAAAGCCCCGGGCUCAACCUGGGAACUGCAUCCAAACUGGCAAGCUAGAGUACGGUAGAGGGUGGUGGAAUUUCCUGUGUAGCGGUGAAAUGCGUAGAUAUAGGAAGGAACACCAGUGGCGAAGGCGACCACCUGGACUGAUACUGACACUGAGGUGCGAAAGCGUGGGGAAGCAAACA
This 207-nucleotide ribosomal RNA is filed under the name uncultured bacterium. Its description in RNAcentral is "partial 16S ribosomal RNA". It matches the Rfam family "Bacterial small subunit ribosomal RNA", at positions 568 to 774 of the family's 1533-position model. The record is from RNAcentral.